UAUUUAUUAGUUUAUAAAAAACAUUACAAUUUCAUCGUAAUAAAAAUAACUAAAUUAUUAUAAAUAA
RNAcentral lists this transfer RNA (67 nucleotides) under Molannodes epaphos. Its description in RNAcentral is "tRNA-Glu". Lineage: Eukaryota; Metazoa; Arthropoda; Insecta; Trichoptera; Molannidae. The record is from RNAcentral.